AACGGGGUAGUUCAAUUGGUUAGAACAAUAGAAUCAUAAUCUGUAUGUUGUGGGUUCAAAUCCUAUCCUCGUUA
Molecule: transfer RNA, 74 nt
Filed under: Campylaephora sungminbooi
Lineage: Eukaryota; Rhodophyta; Florideophyceae; Ceramiales; Ceramiaceae
Description: tRNA-Met
Rfam family: tRNA
About the family: Transfer RNA (tRNA) molecules are approximately 80 nucleotides in length.
Source: RNAcentral